UGAUAGCUAGUUUAAAUAAAAUAAGUGAUUUCGACUCACUAGAUUAUGAUUCUAUCUCAUAACUAUCAA
RNAcentral lists this transfer RNA (69 nucleotides) under Taphozous melanopogon (black-bearded tomb bat). RNAcentral's name for it is "tRNA-Arg". Lineage: Eukaryota; Metazoa; Chordata; Mammalia; Chiroptera; Emballonuridae. The record is from RNAcentral.